AGGAUGAACGCUGGCGGUCUGCUUAACACAUGCAAGUCGAACGGAGUACCUCGGUACUUAGUGGCGGACGGGUGAGUAACGCGUGAGAAUCUGCCCUUAGGUCGGGGACAACCAUUGGAAACGAUGGCUAAUACCGGAUAAGCCGAGAGGUAAAAGAUUAAUUGCCUAGGGAAGAGCUCGCGUCUGAUUAGCUAGUUGGUGAGGUAAAGGCUCACCAAGGCAUCGAUCAGUAGCUGGUCUGAGAGGGCGACCGGCCACACUGGGACUGAGACACGGCCCAGACUCCUACGGGAGGCAGCAGUGGGGAAUAUUGCACAAUGGGCGGAAGCCUGAUGCAGCGACGCCGCGUGAGGGAUGAAGGCCUUCGGGUUGUAAACCUCUUUCGACAGGGACGAAGCGCAAGUGACGGUACCUGGAGAAGAAGCGCCGGCCAACUACGUGCCAGCAGCCGC
This 452-nucleotide ribosomal RNA is filed under the name uncultured bacterium. Its description in RNAcentral is "SSU rRNA". It matches the Rfam family "Bacterial small subunit ribosomal RNA", at positions 26 to 518 of the family's 1533-position model. The record is from RNAcentral.